RNAcentral lists this ribosomal RNA (1470 nucleotides) under metagenome. Its description in RNAcentral is "bacterial SSU rRNA". It matches the Rfam family "Bacterial small subunit ribosomal RNA". The record is from RNAcentral.
AGAGCUUGAUCCUGGCUCAGGACGAACGCUGGCGGCACGCUUAACACAUGCAAGUCGAACGAGAGAAGAGGAGCUUGCUUUUCUGAUCUAGUGGCGGACGGGUGAGUAACACGUGAGCAACCUGCCUUUCAGAGGGGGAUACCGAUUGGAAAUGAUCGUUAAUACCGCAUAACAUAAUUGAACCGCAUGAUUUGAUUAUCAAAGAUUUAUCGCUGAAAGAUGAGCUCGCGUCUGAUUAGCUAGUUGGUAAGGUAACGGCUUACCAAGGCGACGAUCAGUAGCCGGACUGAGAGGUUGAUCGGCCACAUUGGGACUGAGACACGGCCCAGACUCCUACGGGAGGCAGCAGUGGGGAAUAUUGCACAAUGGAGGAAACUCUGAUGCAGCGAUGCCGCGUGAGGGAAGAAGGUUUUAGGAUUGUAAACCUCUGUCUUCAGGGACGAAAAAAGACGGUACCUGAGGAGGAAGCUCCGGCUAACUACGUGCCAGCAGCCGCGGUAAUACGUAGGGAGCGAGCGUUGUCCGGAAUUACUGGGUGUAAAGGGAGCGUAGGCGGGAUCGCAAGUCAGAUGUGAAACCUAUGGGCUUAACCCAUAAACUGCAUUUGAAACUGUGGUUCUUGAGUGAAGUAGAGGUAAGCGGAAUUCCUAGUGUAGCGGUGAAAUGCGUAGAUAUUAGGAGGAACAUCAGUGGCGAAGGCGGCUUACUGGGCUUUAACUGACGCUGAGGCUCGAAAGCGUGGGGAGCAAACAGGAUUAGAUACCCUGGUAGUCCACGCCGUAAACGAUGAUUACUAGGUGUGGGGGGACUGACCCCUUCCGUGCCGCAGCAAACGCAAUAAGUAAUCCACCUGGGGAGUACGACCGCAAGGUUGAAACUCAAAGGAAUUGACGGGGGCCCGCACAAGCAGUGGAGUAUGUGGAUUAAUUCGAAGCAACGCGAAGAACCUUACCAGGUCUUGACAUCGUAUGCAUAGCUCAGAGAUGAGUGAAAUCUCUUCGGAGACAUAUAGACAGGUGGUGCAUGGUUGUCGUCAGCUCGUGUCGUGAGAUGUUGGGUUAAGUCCCGCAACGAGCGCAACCCUUACUGUUAGUUGCUACGCAAGAGCACUCUAGCAGGACUGCCGUUGACAAAACGGAGGAAGGUGGGGAUGACGUCAAAUCAUCAUGCCCCUUAUGACCUGGGCCUCACACGUACUACAAUGGCUGUCAACAGAGGGAAGCAAAGCCGCGAGGUGGAGCGAACCCCUAAAAGCAGUCUUAGUUCGGAUUGUAGGCUGCAACCCGCCUACAUGAAGUCGGAAUUGCUAGUAAUCGCAGAUCAGCAUGCUGCGGUGAAUACGUUCCCGGGCCUUGUACACACCGCCCGUCACGCCAUGGGAGUCGGUAACACCCGAAGCCUGUAGUCUAACCGCAAGGAGGACGCAGUCGAAGGUGGGAUUGAUGACUGGGGUGAAGUCGUAACAAGGUA